This 453-nucleotide ribosomal RNA is filed under the name uncultured bacterium. Its description in RNAcentral is "bacterial SSU rRNA". It matches the Rfam family "Bacterial small subunit ribosomal RNA", at positions 8 to 424 of the family's 1533-position model. The record is from RNAcentral.
AGAGUUUGAUUAUGGCUCAGGAUGAACGCCGGCGGUGUGCCUAAUACAUGCAAGUCGUACGCACUGGCCCAACUGAUUGAUGGUGCUUGCACCGGAUUGACGAUGGAUCACCAGUGAGUGGCGGACGGGUGAGUAACACGUAGGUAACCUGCCCCGGAGCGGGGGAUAACAUUUGGAAACAGAUGCUAAUACCGCAUAACAACAAAAGCCACAUGGCUUUUGUUUGAAAGAUGGCUUUGGCUAUCACUCUGGGAUGGACCUGCGGUGCAUUAGCUAGUUGGUAAGGUAACGGCUUACCAAGGCGAUGAUGCAUAGCCGAGUUGAGAGACUGAUCGGCCACAAUGGAACUGAGACACGGUCCAUACUCCUACGGGAGGCAGCAGUAGGGAAUCUUCCACAAUGGGCGCAAGCCUGAUGGAGCAACACCGCGUGAGUGAAGAAAGGUUUCGGCUC